Molecule: transfer RNA, 72 nt
Filed under: Sphaerodactylus townsendi
Lineage: Eukaryota; Metazoa; Chordata; Lepidosauria; Squamata; Sphaerodactylidae
Description: tRNA-Val
Rfam family: tRNA
About the family: Transfer RNA (tRNA) molecules are approximately 80 nucleotides in length. Their secondary structure includes four short double-helical elements and three loops (D, anti-codon, and T loops).
Source: RNAcentral
GGGGUUAUGGAUCAGUGGUAGAGCACCUGCUUCACAUGCAGGCAGUCUCAGGUUCAGUCCCCAGUACCUCCA